Molecule: ribosomal RNA, 497 nt
Filed under: uncultured bacterium
Lineage: Bacteria
Description: partial 16S ribosomal RNA
Rfam family: Bacterial small subunit ribosomal RNA
Source: RNAcentral
GACGAACGCUGGCGGCGUGCUUAAUACAUGCAAGUCGAGCGAACAGACGAGGAGUUUGUUCCUUUCACGUUAGCGGCGGACGUGUGAGUAACACGUGUAUAAUCCACUUAUAUGUCUGGGAAAAUUUCGGGAAUCCGGAGCUAAUACCGGAUAAUCUACUGAACCGCAUGGUUCAAUAGUGAAAGACGGUUUUGCUGUCACUUCUAGAUGGAUCCGCGCCGCAUUAGCUAGUUGGUAAGGUAACGGCUUAUCAAGGCUACGAUGCGUAGCCGACGUGACAGAGGGGUCGGCCACACUGGAGCUGGAACGCGGUCCAUGCUCCUGCGAGAGGGAGCAGUAGGGUAUCUUCCGCAGUAGGCGAGAACUUGGCGGAACAGCGCCACGUGAGUGGUAGAAGUCUUCGGAUCGUGAAACUCUGUUAUUGGGGGUAAACAGAUGUGUAAGUAGCUGUACACGUCUUGACGGUACCUGGUCAAGAAGCCACGGCUAACUACGUG